This 712-nucleotide ribosomal RNA is filed under the name Paenibacillus sp. RNAcentral describes it as "bacterial SSU rRNA". It matches the Rfam family "Bacterial small subunit ribosomal RNA", at positions 51 to 743 of the family's 1533-position model. The record is from RNAcentral. Lineage: Bacteria; Bacillati; Bacillota; Bacilli; Caryophanales; Paenibacillaceae.
AUACAUGCAAGUCGAGCGGACUUGAUGGAGUGCUUGCACUCCUGAUGGUUAGCGGCGGACGGGUGAGUAACACGUAGGCAACCUGCCCUCAAGACUGGGAUAACUACCGGAAACGGUAGCUAAUACCGGAUAAUUUAUUUCACAGCAUUGUGGAAUAAUGAAAGACGGAGCAAUCUGUCACUUGGGGAUGGGCCUGCGGCGCAUUAGCUAGUUGGUGGGGUAAUGGCUCACCAAGGCGACGAUGCGUAGCCGACCUGAGAGGGUGAACGGCCACACUGGGACUGAGACACGGCCCAGACUCCUACGGGAGGCAGCAGUAGGGAAUCUUCCGCAAUGGGCGAAAGCCUGACGGAGCAACGCCGCGUGAGUGAUGAAGGUUUUCGGAUCGUAAAGCUCUGUUGCCAAGGAAGAACGUCUUCUAGAGUAACUGCUAGGAGAGUGACGGUACUUGAGAAGAAAGCCCCGGCUAACUACGUGCCAGCAGCCGCGGUAAUACGUAGGGGGCAAGCGUUGUCCGGAAUUAUUGGGCGUAAAGCGCGCGCAGGCGGUUCUUUAAGUCUGGUGUUUAAACCCGAGGCUCAACUUCGGGUCGCACUGGAAACUGGGGAACUUGAGUGCAGAAGAGGAGAGUGGAAUUCCACGUGUAGCGGUGAAAUGCGUAGAUAUGUGGAGGAACACCAGUGGCGAAGGCGACUCUCUGGGCUGUAACUGA